Molecule: unclassified non-coding RNA, 288 nt
Filed under: Chaetomiaceae sp.
Lineage: Eukaryota; Fungi; Ascomycota; Sordariomycetes; Sordariales; Chaetomiaceae
Also listed under: 1 other name
Description: partial contains 5.8S ribosomal RNA, internal transcribed spacer 2, and large subunit ribosomal RNA
Rfam family: 5.8S ribosomal RNA (bases 1-71)
Source: RNAcentral
GUGAAUCAUCGAAUCUUUGAACGCACAUUGCGCCCGCCAGUAUUCUGGCGGGCAUGCCUGUCCGAGCGUCAUUUCAACCAUCAAGCCCCGGGCUUGUGUUGGGGCCCUGCGGCUGCCGCAGGCCCUGAAAACCAGUGGCGGGCUCGCUAGUCACUCCGAGCGUAGUAGUUUACACCUCGCUCAGGGCGUGCUGCGGGUUCCGGCCGUUAAAAGCCUUAUUUUACCCAAGGUUGACCUCGGAUCAGGUAGGAAGACCCGCUGAACUUAAGCAUAUCAAUAAGCGGAGGA